CAGGAAGAGAAGGAAACGGAUGAUCCGCUGUGGUGACCCCUAACGGGAGCAGCCGAAAGUAGAAGAAGAAAAUGAAGUAACAGAUCUCUAACUGGUCUCAUCUAGUCAGACUGGUCUGUGUGCUGAGAUAUUACAGGUCCAGCAAAGCAGACACGCCGGGCCCAUCAUGCAGACAUAGCCACUGAAAAAAGAAAAAAGGGAUUUGGAAGCUUUUUGAGCGGCUGUGGUGCUGUGUGCCGGCUUGCUGCAGGAGAAGAGCUGCAGGAG
Lampris incognitus (smalleye Pacific opah) is the source of this 267-nucleotide long non-coding RNA. RefSeq lists it as uncharacterized. The transcript has 3 exons. The record is from RefSeq and is a predicted model, not a curated record. NCBI's taxonomy places the organism in Eukaryota, Metazoa, Chordata, Actinopteri, Lampriformes, Lampridae.